This 483-nucleotide ribosomal RNA is filed under the name uncultured bacterium. Its description in RNAcentral is "bacterial SSU rRNA". It matches the Rfam family "Bacterial small subunit ribosomal RNA", at positions 8 to 518 of the family's 1533-position model. The record is from RNAcentral.
AGAGUUUGAUUCUGGCUCAGAACGAACGCUGGCGGCAGGCUUAACACAUGCAAGUUGAACGGGAUUUGAUGGUAGCUUGCUAUCAUUAAUGAGAGUAGCGCACUGGUGAGUAACACGUGGGAACAUACCUUUUGGUGGGGGACAACAGAUGGAAACGUCUGCUAAUACCGCAUAAGCCCUGAGGGAGAAAGAUUUAUUGCCGAAAGAUUGGCCCGCGGAAGAUUAGGUAGUAGGUGGGGUAACGGCCUACCUAGCCGACGAUCUAUAGCUGGUCUGAGAGGACGAUCAGCCACAUUGGAACUGAGACACGGUCCAGACUCCUACGGGAGGCAGCAGUGAGGAAUAUUGGGCAAUGGAGGGAACUCUGACCCAGCCAAUGCCGCGUGAGUGAAGAAGGUUUUCGGAUUGUAAAGCUCUUUCAGAUGAGAAGAUAAUGACGGUAUCAUCAGAAGAAGCACCGGCUAACUUCGUGCCAGCCGCCGC